Long non-coding RNA from Scatophagus argus, 3074 nucleotides. RefSeq lists it as uncharacterized. The record is from RefSeq and is a predicted model, not a curated record. Lineage: Eukaryota; Metazoa; Chordata; Actinopteri; Scatophagidae. The transcript has 2 exons.
UUCUUGCCACAUUCUACUUCUGCUACUUGCUGUCGUUAGUGUUUCUGUACAGCUGCUACUGAUAGCAAUAUUUAGCCUGCUGAUGCGUGUAUUAAUAGCCCUAAUGCUAACGAAUGUUACAGAUAGGCAACCUCAUCCUUACACUCAGCUGUUAGGUAUCAGACUUACUGAAAAUUAGCGAUUCUUAUAGCCUACAAGUUACUGUCAGCUCGCACUUGUACCAUAGUGUUACUGAUCUUAAAGUAGCAUUUACAGUAUCACUGUUGCAUUAGUGCAGAUAGCUCUGUCAGUAGUUGGCCUACUGUUUUUACUACAGCCAGUUCAAGUAGCCAACCGCAUCUAAAAAUUAUUAGAAUCAAUAAUAAGAAUAGUAAUAGGCUACUAUAGAUCUUACUGUUAUUGUUAUACUUAUUAGUACUAUUUUUACUGCAACUGCUGCUAACGUGAAGUACUUAUGUUUUAGAUCUGCAGUGAGCUGGCUAAAUAAUUUGGCCAUAUGAACAUGCACAUAUUUUCUACAGUAUGAUUUUCAGAAUCUCACACUGUAACUGUUCUGGAUAUACUAACUUUUUCAGAAGAAAAAAAAAAGUAACAGCUCACACCUGGGAGGCUAUAAAAAAGAAGAUAACUGACACCAUUAUCUUGAAUGUUCCCCCUGAUCAGAAUGUAAACAAACAAUUGUUCUUGGUGAACACUGUAACAUUGAUAUAAAAGUCCAGAUUGUCUCAGAUGAUACUUAAGCCACAUCCCUACCUCAUGGACAGGGGGUCAUUUGUAGCCCUUGCCAGCAGAGGGAGGCAGUGAUCUAUUGUGUUUGAGCAGUUGAUUGAGUGGAUUCUUACCAUUGAAUUUUACAGUUAGAAUACAAUUGUCCCAGGAUAGUUUGCUCAUGUAAUUGCACACAUGCCUUCACGUCCAGUUGAUCCCCGAGUCGGAACUUGAGUGAGAGGGUUACAGUCUGUGGAUUUUAAAAGCUCUUUACUGUUCUCAUAGACGAGGCAGCACUGACCACACAGCCAGGUUAGUGAUUUUGACCUUCAUGUUGAUUGAAGCAAAACAUUAUUUGUUGGCACAGAUGAUCCCUUCUUAGUUUGUUGCUGAGAACAUAGGUUUAAUUUACGUGUCUUAAGAGUCCUACAAUGUCAACACACGAGCACAUUGGCAUCUGUAAGCAUAUUUCAUUUAGUCAUUUUGUUCAGUGUUGUUGCACUACGUACUCAGAAUAUAACAACACACAACUGUGACAUGAAGGUUUUUUCUCCUGGAAGUCACAAUUUUUAUGGUCCAAGCAUUAGGUCUUGGCAUCUCAAACUGUUGACAAACCUCUGCAACUUUAGCUUGUUGUAUAUACUAGUUAAGAAGUUAAGAUUCUGAUUAUUUCAAAGCCCUAUAAAAUUUAGCCCUUGAGAAACAUUUUGUUUUUAGCUGAAAAUAUGGAACCAUUUACACGAAUAUAAUAUGGUAGACUGUCUGGAGCCCAACCAUUUUUGUAAUUUUUUAUUUAUUUAUUUUUUUUUCCAUUUUCAAGGGCCAGUAAUGAAAAACAUGUUGUCUGCUUGCCUUUAAAUUAUAUAUAUCUGUUGUACACUGUUUUGACUGUACCCCUAUCAGAUUUCGUGGAUUGUUUUGUUUGCUGCUAUUGUUUAUACAUGUGCAUACACUUCUCUUGUAAACAUUUUGUUUAACUAUGUGGAGUCAGUCCCACGAAUUUUUAAAAGCGUUCAUGUGCUUGUGCCAUUGAGGUGGACAACUAGAUUAAAUGAGCUUCACUCCAUCUGUACAGCUGUAUCGAUCUCAUCUCAUCUCCCAUGCCAUUUUUGUGGCACUAAUUUGUUUUGUUUCGGUAGGUGAUAUCUUGUAAUGAUGACAUCGUUCUUACCAGCACCUAAAAAGGUCAAACUGGCUAGGUUAUUUUUCAAAACUGGGGAAAAAUCCAUCAAUGUGCAUAAUGCCAGACCUUUUGAAACUGCUGAGAAAAAUCAGAGUUGUGGGCACUGAUCCAGAGGUCUGGAGCCAGACUGUAUUGGUAAAGACAUCCUUCCUUCAGUGAUGCCGACCAUGCUGAGUGUGAUAAGCAUCAAGGUCAUUUACCUGCACAUUGGCACAUUUCUAGGAUGUUAAAAACCUCAGUUGUAAGGCCUGAAGUUGUAUGUUCUGCUGCAGGAUUUACAUAUCUGUGCUCUCAGGCUUACACAAAAAAAUCAUAUUAAAGUCUGCUCAGAGACAAACUGCUUCCUUGAUAAACAUACGCCAAUCAGCCAUAACGUUAUGAAAAGUGACAGGUGAAGUGAAUAACAUUCAUCAUCUCAUUACAAUGGCACCUGGCAGUGGGUGGUUUAUAUUAAGCAGCAAGUGAAUUGAAGCUGAUGUGUCGGAUCAAGCGACUUUGACGAGGACCAGAUGGCGAUGGCUAAAUGACUGGGUCAGAGCGUCUCAAAUACUGCAGCUUUAUGUGGGAUGUUCCUGGUCUGGAGUAGUCAGGACCUAACAAGAGUGGGCCAAGGAAGGAAAACUGGCGAACUGUUGACAGGCUCAUGGACGGCCAAGGCUCACUGAUGCAGAGCUGGGUGUGGUCUUCAGAUCAUCUCCUGCCAACUGACCUGCACAGCUGAGCCAGAUCCACUAAUGAACUCCACCCUCUUCCUGGUGUAUUUAAAGACUGGUUAAUUCAUCCACUCUCCAUUAGAUUGUACAGUCCUACUACUGUGUCAGGCCAAACUUACUGUAGUGCUCUUGUUUUUGUGCUUGCAAAACUGUCAUUUAAAUGUAGUGGAGUAAAAAGUACAAUAUUAGGCUCUGUUGAGUUGCAUGAAAUGGAAACACUCAAGAACAAGGACCUUGAAUGUGUACUUAAAAUUUAAUUAAUUACAUUUCACUACUCUCUGUAAAUGUAAAUCUGUCUUUGUACACUCUCAGAUCUGCUUUUUGUUUGGUGAAGGACUUUUUAAUUGAACCCCUGUGAGUAAGAUGUACAGUAGCAGGUCUUCUUUUAAUGUGAGGCUGAUUUCAUGUUCUGCUCUGUUCUCUGUGUGUACUUUUUUUUUUCAGUUUUCUAGUUUUUUGUACUAGCUUAA